GACCUCGCCGAGUUUAGCGGUA
This 22-nucleotide small nuclear RNA is filed under the name Arabidopsis thaliana (thale cress). Its description in RNAcentral is "snRNA_00028". Lineage: Eukaryota; Viridiplantae; Streptophyta; Magnoliopsida; Brassicales; Brassicaceae. The record is from RNAcentral.